GCAGCCUCAAGCUCAGGCGUACUUGGGUUCUGCAGCAGAACAAUGAUCCAAAGCACACAAACAAGUUCACCUCUGAAUGUUUGAAUGUCUACAUAUUAAACAUUUAUUACUCUUUAAAACGAUGUAACCGUAUUUUUACGCUAUUCAUUUAUUGGUAUAUCAGUGACAUACAUUUUUGAUAAUAUACCAAAAAUAUAAGUAUCCCAAUUCUGGGACAAUAUAAUUUCUACACAAAAGUAGUUAUGGUGACAGACCUAUACUCAAUCAAGAUAUUGAUAUAGUGCAGCAGUGCAUGGGGGUGUAACUCUGGCACUGUGAUCUGUAUUGAUGAGGGUCAGGCUCCUACAGUAGAGUGAGUGAAUAGUGUAGAGAUGCUGGGUGGGGCGGGUGCUGCACAGAGGGGAGUCACUCUGCUCUACUGUACUGUUCUCUUCUACAUCUCUCCCACUGACUGGAGGAUCCAGGGGGUUAUGGCACAGAGCUGACCUGCUGCAGCCGGGCUGAGAGCUGCUGUGUUUACGCAGGAGAAAGUGGAGGAAAGUGGAGAAGACGAGGAGAAAGAUGCAGUCAGACCACCAGAGUGAUGAUGCUUCUUCAGCUCAGAACAGGAGGAGCCCUGGACCUGUUCGAACAUCUCCCUCAGUCUGCUGGAGUGUUAUAACAGCAGUAUAGCGAGGAGACCCCCCUCUCUCUCUCUGCUCCAGUGGAUGGAGUUGGUAACUGUGGAGUCUCGCCAUGCCUUCUCUCCACCACGGGGCCAUCUUUAUCGGAGUCUUCCUCAUAGUCACCGGCGGCUCCACCGCCUUCCUCACGUCCAGUCAGAACCGGCUGCAGGCGUUCAGCCUGUGCUGUGUGGUGCUGGGGGCGGUCAUGCUCAUCCUGGGGCUCUUCUGGGCCAUGAACGGCAAGACCAACCCCGCCACCUACACCGCAGACUACACCCACGACUACAGCCACGUCCUCUUUACCCCUCCGACCGGGAACCGCUUCCCAGAGUCCCAGUCCGUCUACCUCCACAGAACUUUGGAAAGGCAAAGGCGAGGGAUGUACAGUGAGGACUUCGACUACCCUCCCAUGGAGAACACUUGCUUCAGCCCAUCUGGACGAGGGCAGCCCCCUCACUGGGAGAUGGACCCGCCGCCUCCCUAUGAAGUAGCCAUCAAAACCACAUGUAGCUCCACACAUCUGAGACGCAGCUACUCAGACACCCUGCUGCCUACUGAACCGCUCUUCAACCGCUCCCGUGAGAUCAGCUUUGAGGUGUAAAUUGAUGCCCUGACCCUGCCCCUCACUGCCAGCACUGACCAGCACUGAGGAACACACCUUAACUGUCUAACCCCAAGUCUACUUACUUCUCAAGCACUUUGUGUUAGGACUACGUUUCUUUUUUAUUAUUAUUAUAAAUUUCUGCUCAGUCUGACCCAUUGUAUUCUAAUUCAUGCAGUGAAAAAUUUAAGUCAUUAAUGUCCAUAUCUGGAUAUGAUUCAACCGUGUGCUUUCUGUGAGCUUGAAAUUAGAAAACAAAUAUUUAGAUUUAUUUGUUUAUAAAAGUAUGAAAUUUAAUUGUAAUAGAAAGUAACUUUUAACCAUGAAAUUACAUCAUCAAUCUAGUUAAUGCAACUAGAAGGAGUUUAAAAUAAGUUUGAAGAAGUAUCAGACUAAAUAUAGUCCUCGAACUGCACAGCCCUGUCAUUGGUUGCUGGUUCAAUACUCUGUAAUGCCACAGCACAGCUGGCCUUGCUCUCCCUCUCUCUCUCUCUCUCUCUCUCUCUCUCAGUGGGUAGACUGGGACUCCCUCUCACUCCAUUACUCAGUGUGAUGCAAACCAUUGCAGGCAUCUGUUAAAAGAUGUAAUAAAAUUGGCAGUUAGUGUUCA
RNAcentral lists this long non-coding RNA (1876 nucleotides) under Astyanax mexicanus (Mexican tetra). RNAcentral's name for it is "lncRNA (ENSAMXG00005016264.1)". Lineage: Eukaryota; Metazoa; Chordata; Actinopteri; Characiformes; Acestrorhamphidae. The record is from RNAcentral.